This 253-nucleotide ribosomal RNA is filed under the name uncultured bacterium. RNAcentral describes it as "partial 16S ribosomal RNA". It matches the Rfam family "Bacterial small subunit ribosomal RNA", at positions 524 to 776 of the family's 1533-position model. The record is from RNAcentral.
UACGAAGGGGGCUAGCGUUGCUCGGAAUCACUGGGCGUAAAGCGCACGUAGGCGGAUUGCUAAGUCAGGGGUGAAAUCCUGGAGCUCAACUCCAGAACUGCCUUUGAUACUGGCAACCUUGAGUCCGGGAGAGGUGAGUGGAACUGCGAGUGUAGAGGUGAAAUUCGUAGAUAUUCGCAAGAACACCAGUGGCGAAGGCGGCUCACUGGCCCGGUACUGACGCUGAGGUGCGAAAGCGUGGGUAGCAAACAGG